This 24-nucleotide non-coding RNA is filed under the name Arabidopsis thaliana (thale cress). Lineage: Eukaryota; Viridiplantae; Streptophyta; Magnoliopsida; Brassicales; Brassicaceae. The record is from RNAcentral.
GAUGGUCGCUUGGGUCACCGUCCA